GUCAGAAUGGCCGAGUGGUCCAAGGCGGCAGAUUUAAGUUCUGCUCCUCGUAAGAGGGCGUGGGUUCGAACCCCACUUCUGACA
Molecule: transfer RNA, 84 nt
Organism: Tropilaelaps mercedesae
Lineage: Eukaryota; Metazoa; Arthropoda; Arachnida; Mesostigmata; Laelapidae
Rfam family: tRNA
About the family: Transfer RNA (tRNA) molecules are approximately 80 nucleotides in length. Their secondary structure includes four short double-helical elements and three loops (D, anti-codon, and T loops).
Source: Rfam